GAUUCAGUGAAGCUCAGUGGUAGAGUAUUUGCCUAGCAUGCCCAAGGCAAUGGGUUUGAUCCCCUGGAAUUG
This 72-nucleotide transfer RNA is filed under the name Marmota monax (woodchuck). RNAcentral describes it as "tRNA.Ala". Lineage: Eukaryota; Metazoa; Chordata; Mammalia; Rodentia; Sciuridae. The record is from RNAcentral.